RNAcentral lists this ribosomal RNA (680 nucleotides) under uncultured Ramaria. RNAcentral's name for it is "eukaryotic LSU rRNA". The stretch from base 226 to 380 matches the Rfam family "5.8S ribosomal RNA". Lineage: Eukaryota; Fungi; Basidiomycota; Agaricomycetes; Gomphales; Gomphaceae. The record is from RNAcentral.
GGGGUAAGGGAAGGUUGCCGGCCCAUAAGAGGGCGUACAGUGCACGCCUCUCGGGGGGGACACACAACAACACACCUGUGCACCUAGCGGGAUGCCUCCCAUUGAGAGCAGUCUGGCCAUACCAAACCCCCUUGUUUGGGGGGGCCGGGCCGGGGCGUCCCCUCGUUUCGUUACAUCCUGUCGAACGCAUGUCUUAUGGCUCUACGGAGCGAGAAGUUUUAAUACAACUUUCAACAACGGAUCUCUUGGCUUUCGCAUCGAUGAAGAACGCCGCGAAAGUGCGAAACGUAAUGUGAAUUGCAGAAUUCAGUGAAUCAUCGAAUCUUUGAACGCAUCUUGCGCUCCUUGGCAUUCCGAGGAGCAUGCCUGUUUGAGUGUCGUGAAAACCUUCGAACCCUCCCCUUCCCCUCGGGAAAGGCCGAGGGUGCGGAUUUGGACGUCUGUGGCCUGAGAGGGCCGCUCGUCUCUAAAUGUAUCAGCUGGUCCCCAUCGAGUCGGUCCAACGACGGUGUGAUAAUAAACGCUUCGUUUGACUGUGGCGCCGUACGGGCCCGACUCCGUCCCCUUGGCCAGGGAUGUGCGUGGGUGGCCGCUCACAGCCGUCYGCUUCUGUCGGACAAAUUACGACGAUNNNCUGACCUCAAAUCAGGCAGGAUUACCCGCCGAACUUAAGCAUAUCA